CUAGCUGUAAACGAUGGAUACUAGGCGUUGAGAGUAUCGACCCUCUCAGUGUCGUAGCUAACGCGUCAAGUAUCCCGCCUGGGGAGUACGCGCGCAAGCGUGAAACUCAAAGGAAUUGACGGGGGCCCGCACAAGCGGUGGAGUAUGUGGUUUAAUUCGAUGCAACGCGAAGAACCUUACCAGGGCUUGACAUGUCCGGAACCCUGCCCAAAGGCGGGGGUGCCUACGGGAACCGGAACACAGGUGGUGC
Molecule: ribosomal RNA, 250 nt
Filed under: uncultured Chroococcidiopsis sp.
Lineage: Bacteria; Bacillati; Cyanobacteriota; Cyanophyceae; Chroococcidiopsidales; Chroococcidiopsidaceae
Description: partial 16S ribosomal RNA
Rfam family: Bacterial small subunit ribosomal RNA
Source: RNAcentral